UUUCAUGUCUUUUGUCUUAAUUUUCUUUCCCAUUCUUUUUUCUUUUCACUCCCAAAGCCGAGGGUACCAAACUUGUGAACUCUUUGGUUCUUUCAUGUCUUUUGGUUCUUUCAUGUCUUUUGGUUCUUUCAUGUCUUUUGGUUCUUUCAUUUCUUUUGGUUAUUUUAUGUCUUAUGUCUUAAAUCUCAUUCCCAUUCUUUUGUCUUUUGACUCCCAAAGCCGAGGGUACCAAAUUUGAGAACUCUUGUUCUUUCAUGUCUUAUGUCUUAAACCUCUCAUUCCCAUUCUUUUGUCUUUCGACUUCCAAAGCCGAGGGUACCAAACUUGAGAUCUCUUUGGUUCUUUCAUGUCUAUUGGUUUUUUCAUGUCUUUUGUUUUUUCAUGUCUAUUGGUUCUUUCAUGUCUUAUAUGUCUUAAUCUCCUUUCCUUUCUUUUGUCUUUUGACUUUCAAAGCCGAGGGUACCAAACUUUCAUGUCUAUUGGUUCUUUCAUGUCUUAUGUCUUAAAUCUCAUUCCCAUUCUUUUAUCUUUUGAAUUCCAAAGCCGAGGGUACCAAACUUGAGAACUAUUUGGUUCUUUCAUGUCUUUUAUUCUUUCAUGUCUAUUGGUUCUUUCAUGUCUUAUGUCUUAACUCUCAUUCCCAUUCUUUUAUCUUUUGAAUUCUAAAGCCGAGGGUACCAAACUUCAGAACUCUUUGGUUCUUUCAUGCCUUUUGUUCUUUCAUGUCUUUUGGUUCUUUAAUAUCUUGUGUCUUAAUCUCUUUCCCGUUCUUUUAUCUUUUGACUUUCAAAGCCGAGGGUACCAAACUUGAGAACUCUUCAUGUCUUUUGGUUCUUUCAUGUCUUAUGCCUUAAUUCUCAUUCCCAUUCUUUUGCCUUUUGUCUUCUAAAGCCGAGGGUACCAAACUUAUUUAGACGUGUGAUCACCCAACAAACUGAAACCUCUUUUUCAACUCGCAACAAGCAUGCACUACCAAGCCCACAGUUCAUAAUAUCUCUUGGGACAAAUAGAAACCUCUUUUCCAACUCGCAACAAUCAUGCACUACCAAGUCCACAGUUCACAAUUUCCCUUGGGACAAUGUCCCCAA
This 1088-nucleotide long non-coding RNA is filed under the name Capsella grandiflora. RNAcentral's name for it is "long non-coding RNA (CGRA_LNC000363)". Lineage: Eukaryota; Viridiplantae; Streptophyta; Magnoliopsida; Brassicales; Brassicaceae. The record is from RNAcentral.